AUUGAACGCUGGCGGCAGGCCUAACACAUGCAAGUCGAGCGGAUGAAGGGAGCUUGCUCCUGGAUUCAGCGGCGGACGGGUGAGUAAUGCCUAGGAAUCUGCCUGGUAGUGGGGGAUAACGUCCGGAAACGGGCGCUAAUACCGCAUACGUCCUGAGGGAGAAAGUGGGGGAUCUUCGGACCUCACGCUAUCAGAUGAGCCUAGGUCGGAUUAGCUAGUUGGUGGGGUAAAGGCCUACCAAGGCGACGAUCCGUAACUGGUCUGAGAGGAUGAUCAGUCACACUGGAACUGAGACACGGUCCAGACUCCUACGGGAGGCAGCAGUGGGGAAUAUUGGACACUGGGCGAAAGCCUGAUCCAGCCAUGCCGCGUGUGUGAAGAAGGUCUUCGGAUUGUAAAGCACUUUAAGUUGGGAGGAAGGGCAGUAAGUUAAUACCUUGCUGUUUUGACGUUACCAACAGAAUAAGCACCGGCUAACUGCGU
Molecule: ribosomal RNA, 483 nt
Filed under: uncultured bacterium
Lineage: Bacteria
Description: partial 16S ribosomal RNA
Rfam family: Bacterial small subunit ribosomal RNA
Source: RNAcentral